RNAcentral lists this ribosomal RNA (504 nucleotides) under uncultured Geobacter sp. Its description in RNAcentral is "bacterial SSU rRNA". It matches the Rfam family "Bacterial small subunit ribosomal RNA", at positions 335 to 831 of the family's 1533-position model. The record is from RNAcentral. Lineage: Bacteria; Pseudomonadati; Thermodesulfobacteriota; Desulfuromonadia; Geobacterales; Geobacteraceae.
ACUCCUACGGGAGGCAGCAGUGGGGAAUUUUGCGCAAUGGGGGAAACCCUGACGCAGCAACGCCGCGUGAGUGAUGAAGGCCUUUGGGUCGUAAAGCUCUGUCAGUGGGAACGAAGUGUAGGGGGUUAAUAGCCUUUCUAUUUGACGGUACCCACAAAGGAAGCACCGGCUAACUCCGUGCCAGCAGCCGCGGUAAUACGGGGGGUGCAAGCGUUGUUCGGAUUUAUUGGGCGUAAAGCGCGUGUAGGCGGUUUUAUAAGUCUGAUGUGAAAGCCCUGGGCUCAACCCGGGAAGUGCAUUGGAUACUGUAAGACUUGAAUACGGGAGAGGGCAGUGGAAUUCCUAGUGUAGGAGUGAAAUCCGUAGAUAUUAGGAGGAACACCGGUGGCGAAGGCGGCUGCCUGGACCGAUAUUGACGCUGAGACGCGAAAGCGUGGGUAGCAAACAGGAUUAGAUACCCUGGUAGUCCACGCCGUAAACGAUGAGAACUAGGUGUCGCGGGUA